RNAcentral lists this ribosomal RNA (305 nucleotides) under uncultured bacterium. RNAcentral's name for it is "bacterial SSU rRNA". It matches the Rfam family "Bacterial small subunit ribosomal RNA", at positions 338 to 660 of the family's 1533-position model. The record is from RNAcentral.
CCUACGGGACGCAGCAGUGGGGAAUAUUGCACAAUGGGGGAAACCCUGAUGCAGCAACGCCGCGUGAGUGAAGAAGGUUUUCGGAUUGUAAAGCUCUGUUAGCAGGGAAGAUAAUGACGGUACCUGACUAAGAAGCCCCGGCUAACUACGUGCCAGCAGCCGCGGUAAUACGUAGGGGGCAAGCGUUAUCCGGAUUUACUGGGUGUAAAGGGAGCGUAGGUGGCAGGGCAAGUCAGAUGUGAAAACCCGGGGCUCAACCCCGGGAGUGCAUUUGAAACUGUCCAGCUGGAGUGCAGGAGAGGUAA